Molecule: ribosomal RNA, 396 nt
Filed under: uncultured bacterium
Lineage: Bacteria
Description: partial 16S ribosomal RNA
Rfam family: Bacterial small subunit ribosomal RNA
Source: RNAcentral
CCUACGGGAGGCUGCAGUGAGGAAUAUUGGUCAAUGGGCGCGAGCCUGAACCAGCGAAGUAGCGUGAAGGAUGACUGCCCUACGGGUUGUAAACUUCUUUUAUAAAGGAGUAAAGUGAGUCACGUGUGCCUUUUUGUAUGUACGUUAUGAAUAAGGAUCGGCUAACUCCGUGCCGUCAGCCGCGGUAAUACGGAGGGUCCGAGCGUUAUCCGGAUUGGUUGGGUUUAAAGGGAGCGUAGAUGGGUUGUUAAGUCAGUUGUGAAAGUUUGCGGCUCAACCGUAAAAUUGCAAUUGAUACUGGCAGUCUUGAGUGCAGUUGAGGUAGGCGGAAUUCGUGGUGUAGCAGUGAAAUGCUUAGAUAUCACGAAGAACUCCGAUUGCGAAGGCAGCUUACUA